RNAcentral lists this ribosomal RNA (320 nucleotides) under uncultured fungus. Its description in RNAcentral is "eukaryotic LSU rRNA". The stretch from base 1 to 71 matches the Rfam family "5.8S ribosomal RNA", at positions 84 to 154 of the family's 154-position model. Lineage: Eukaryota; Fungi. The record is from RNAcentral.
GUGAGUCAUCGAAUCUUUGAACGCACCUUGCGCUCCUUGGUAUUCCGAGGAGCAUGCCUGUUUGAGUGUCAUUAAAUUCUCAACCUCACCCGUUUUCUGAACGGUUCUCCGAGGCUUGGAUGUGGGGGUUUGUGCAGGCUGCCUCAGCGCGGUCUGCUCCCCUGAAAUGUAUUAGCGAGAUUCAUAUCUGAACCUCCGUCUAUCGGUGUGAUAAUUAUCUACGUCGUUGACUUGGUUCGGACUCGCUUCUAACCGUCCGCGAGGACAACAUUACUUGACAAUUUGACCUCAAAUCAGGUAGGACUACCCGCUGAACUUAA